UACAGAGGGUGCAAGCGUUAAUCGGAAUUAUUGGGCGUAAAGAGCUCGUAGGCGGUUUGUCGCGUCUGCCGUGAAAAGUCCGGGGGCUCAACUCCGGAUCUGCGGUGGGUACGGGCAGACUAGAGUGAUGUAGGGGAGACUGGAAUUCCUGGUGUAGCGGUGGAAUGCGCAGAUAUCAGGAGGAACACCGAUGGCGAAGGCAGAUCUCUGGGCCGUAACUGACGCUGAGGAGCGAAAGCAUGGGGAGCGAACAGG
This 255-nucleotide ribosomal RNA is filed under the name uncultured bacterium. RNAcentral's name for it is "partial 16S ribosomal RNA". It matches the Rfam family "Bacterial small subunit ribosomal RNA", at positions 524 to 776 of the family's 1533-position model. The record is from RNAcentral.